AACUUUUGGCAACGGAUCACUUGGCUCUCGCAUCGAUGAAGAACGCAGCGAAUUGCGAUAAGUAAUGUGAAUUGCAGAUUUCCAGUGAAUCAUCGAAUAUUUGAACGCAUCUUGCGCUCCUUGGUAUUCCGAGGAGCAUGCCUGUUUGAGUGUCAUUGAAUUAUCAACCAUUUUUCUCUUUCAAGGGGAAUGAAUGGCUUGGUGUUGGGGGUUGCUGGCACCGUCAGCUCUCCUUAAAUGCAUUAGCAAUCUAGGUUGGCUAGUCUGUGACGUGCACGGCCUCGGACGUGAUAAUGAUCGGUCCUGGCUGGAGCGUCUUUCCUUAGACUAGUGCACAUAGAUCGCUUCUAAUCAACUCGUCUAUCGAGCUUAGCUACUAGGCAGUCUUUUAGGCUGCCGAACACAAGCGAAGAGAAGAGACAUUUGACUUGACCUCAAAUCAGGUAGGACUACCCGCUGAA
RNAcentral lists this unclassified non-coding RNA (461 nucleotides) under uncultured Boletus. RNAcentral describes it as "sequence contains ITS2". The stretch from base 1 to 155 matches the Rfam family "5.8S ribosomal RNA". The record is from RNAcentral. Lineage: Eukaryota; Fungi; Basidiomycota; Agaricomycetes; Boletales; Boletaceae.